This 366-nucleotide ribosomal RNA is filed under the name uncultured eukaryote. RNAcentral's name for it is "partial 18S ribosomal RNA". It matches the Rfam family "Eukaryotic small subunit ribosomal RNA", at positions 592 to 976 of the family's 1831-position model. The record is from RNAcentral.
CAAUAGCGUAUAUUAACGUUGUUGCAGUUAAAAAGCUCGUAGUUGGAUUUCUGGAGGGAGCGUCGACCCGUAUUUACGAGUGCGUGACGUCUCUGUCCAUCCUUGCGGGAAGGCACGGCAUUGAUUUGUUGUGUCGGAUCGCAUCAUUUACUGUGAAAAAAUUAGAGUGUUCAAAGCAGGCUUUCGCUUGAAUACAUUAGCAUGGAAUAAUAAGAUAGGACUUUGGUGCUAUUUUGUUGGUUGAGCCUAAAGUAAUGAUUAAUAGGGAUAGUUGAGGGCACCUGUAUUGCGUUGUCAGAGGUGAAAUUCUUGGAUUUACGCAAGACAAACAGCUGCGAAAGCGUCUGCCAAGGAUGUUUUCAUUAA